AGUGAACGCUGGCGGUACGCCUAACACAUGCAAGUCGAACGGCAGCACAGUAAGAGCUUGCUCUUACGGGUGGCGAGUGGCGGACGGGUGAGGAAUACAUCGGAAUCUACUUUUUCGUGGGGGAUAACGUAGGGAAACUUACGCUAAUACCGCAUACGACCUACGGGUGAAAGCAGGGGAUCUUCGGACCUUGCGCGAUUGAAUGAGCCGAUGUCGGAUUAGCUAGUUGGCGGGGUAAAGGCCCACCAAGGCGACGAUCCGUAGCUGGUCUGAGAGGAUGAGCAGCCACACUGGAACUGAGACACGGUCCAGACUCCUACGGGAGGCAGCAGUGGGGAAUAUUGGACAAUGGGCGCAAGCCUGAUCCAGCCAUACCGCGUGGGUGAAGAAGGCCUUCGGGUUGUAAAGCCCUUUUGUUGGGAAAGAAAAGCAGCAGGUUAAUACCCCGCUGUUCUGACGGUACCCAAAGAAUAAGCACCGGCUAACUUCGUG
Molecule: ribosomal RNA, 492 nt
Filed under: uncultured bacterium
Lineage: Bacteria
Description: partial 16S ribosomal RNA
Rfam family: Bacterial small subunit ribosomal RNA
Source: RNAcentral